This 753-nucleotide ribosomal RNA is filed under the name uncultured bacterium. RNAcentral describes it as "bacterial SSU rRNA". It matches the Rfam family "Bacterial small subunit ribosomal RNA", at positions 8 to 796 of the family's 1533-position model. The record is from RNAcentral.
AGAGUUUGAUCAUGGCUCAGGACGAACGCUGGCGGCGUGCUUAACACAUGCAAGUCGAACGGUGAACCUGCUUCGGUGGGGGAUCAGUGGCGAACGGGUGAGUAACACGUGGGCAACCUGCCCUCAGCUCUGGGAUAACUCCAAGAAAUUGGGGCUAAUACCGGAUACGUCCGUAAGGAGAAAGAUUGAUCGCUGAAGGAUCGGCCCGCGUCGGAUUAGCUGGUUGGUGGGGUAACGGCCCACCAAGGCAACGAUCCGUAGCUGGUCUGAGAGGAUGAUCAGCCACACUGGGACUGAGACACGGCCCAGACUCCUACGGGAGGCAGCAGUGGGGAAUAUUGGUCAAUGGGCGCAAGCCUGAACCAGCCAUGCCGCGUGAGUGAAGAAGGCCUUAGGGUUGUAAAGCUCUUUCAGCGGGGACGAUAAUGACGGUACCCGCAGAAGAAGCCCCGGCUAACUUCGUGCCAGCAGCCGCGGUAAUACGAAGGGGGCUAGCGUUGUUCGGAUUUACUGGGCGUAAAGCGCGCGUAGGCGGGCAUUUAAGUCAGGGGUGAAAUCCCAGGGCUCAACCCUGGAACUGCCUUUGAUACUGGAUGCCUGGAGUUCGGGAGAGGUGAGUGGAAUUCCGAGUGUAGAGGUGAAAUUCGUAGAUAUUCGGAGGAACACCAGAAGCGAAGGCGGCUCACUGGCCCGAUACUGACGCUGAGGCGCGAAAGCGUGGGGAGCAAACAGGAUUAGAUACCCUAGUAGUCC